This 497-nucleotide ribosomal RNA is filed under the name uncultured bacterium. Its description in RNAcentral is "partial 16S ribosomal RNA". It matches the Rfam family "Bacterial small subunit ribosomal RNA", at positions 28 to 507 of the family's 1533-position model. The record is from RNAcentral.
GAUGAACGCUGGCGGCGUGCCUAAUACAUGCCAGUCGAGCGAACGGACGAGAAGCUUGCUUUUCUGAUGUUAGCGGCGGACGGGUGAGUAACACGUGGAUAACCUACCUAUAAGACUGGGAUAACUUCGGGAAACCGGAGCUAAUACCGGAUAAUAUUUUGAACCGCAUGGUUCAAAAGUGAAAGACGGUCUUGCUGUCACUUAUAGAUGGAUCCGCGCUGCAUUAGCUAGUUGGUAAGGUAACGGCUUACCAAGGCAACGAUGCAUAGCCGACCUGAGAGGGUGAUCGGCCACACUGGAACUGAGACACGGUCCAGACUCCUACGGGAGGCAGCAGUAGGGAAUCUUCCGCAAUGGGCGAAAGCCUGACGGAGCAACGCCGCGUGAGUGAUGAAGGUCUUCGGAUCGUAAAACUCUGUUAUUAGGGAAGAACAUAUGUGUAAGUAACUGUGCACACCUUGACGGUACCUAAUCAGAAAGCCACGGCUAACUACGUG